This is a small nucleolar RNA of Peromyscus maniculatus bairdii (prairie deer mouse), 107 nucleotides long. Lineage: Eukaryota; Metazoa; Chordata; Mammalia; Rodentia; Cricetidae. The record is from Ensembl.
GAGCUUUGUGAGAUGGCCCCUUAAUGGUAAAGAGCACCAGCUGCUGACUGGGGAAAAUGAUUGAAUAGGAAACAUUGUUCUGUUCAUUUACUCCCCAGCCUACAAAU